UAGCCGUAAACGAUACUCGCUAGGUGUCGGCCACGGUGCGACCGUUGUCGGUGCCGUAGGGAAGCCGUGAAGCGAGCCACCUGGGAAGUACGGCCGCAAGGCUGAAACUUAAAGGAAUUGGCGGGGGAGCACCACAACGGGUGGAGCUUGCGGUUUAAUUGGAUUCAACGCCGGAAAUCUUACCGGGACCGACAGCAACAUGAAGGCCAGACUGAAGACUUUGCCGGAUUAGCUGAGAGGAGGUGCAUGGCGUAGUCGUGU
This 261-nucleotide ribosomal RNA is filed under the name uncultured archaeon. RNAcentral's name for it is "partial 16S ribosomal RNA". It matches the Rfam family "Archaeal small subunit ribosomal RNA", at positions 748 to 1009 of the family's 1478-position model. The record is from RNAcentral.